This 460-nucleotide ribosomal RNA is filed under the name uncultured bacterium. RNAcentral describes it as "partial 16S ribosomal RNA". It matches the Rfam family "Bacterial small subunit ribosomal RNA", at positions 338 to 795 of the family's 1533-position model. The record is from RNAcentral.
CCUACGGGUGGCAGCAGUGAGGAAUAUUGGUCAAUGGACGAGAGUCUGAACCAGCCAAGCAGCGUGAAGGAUGACUGCCCUAUGGGUUGUAAACUUUUUUUAUAUGGGAAUAAAAUGUUCCACGUGUGGGAUUUUGUAUGUACCAUAUCAAUAAGGAUAGGCUAACCACGUGCCAGCAGCCGCGGUAAUACGGAGGAUCCGAGCGUUAUCCGGAUUUAUUGGGUUUAAAGGGAGCGUAGGUGGAUUGUUAAGUCAGUUGUGAAAGUUUGCGGCUCAACCGUAAAAUUGCAGUUGAAACUGGCAGUCUUGAGUACAGUAGAGGUGGGCGGAAUUCGUGGUGUAGCGGUGAAAUGCUUAGAUAUCACGAAGAACUCCGAUUGCGAAGGCAGUUCACUGGACUGCAACUGACACUGAGGCUCGAAAGUGUGGGUAUCAAACAGGAUUAGAUACCCGUGUAGUC